Phacochoerus africanus (Common warthog) is the source of this 1395-nucleotide long non-coding RNA. RefSeq lists it as uncharacterized. The record is from RefSeq and is a predicted model, not a curated record. NCBI's taxonomy places the organism in Eukaryota, Metazoa, Chordata, Mammalia, Artiodactyla, Suidae. The transcript has 7 exons.
CCUCAGCCCUCAGCAGGAAGGGAGCUAAGGGCCAACGCAGCUGGUUAUUAAAGAAGUUUAUCUGGAUUGUUUUUAAUGAGGGAUUUCUCACUUCAUUAAAACAGAAGAAACAGUAUAUUCCGGGCCCUGAGAGGAAUCCACUUCUUUUUCGUGGACGAAGCCCCUUGGGCACAGAUGCACUGAAGAAGAUGGGCACACAAAAGCACAGGAACUCAACCGUGUGUGUUCAACCCACAAGCACGCAUCUCCGUGCUGCGUGGACCCCGAGGGAGGCAGCAGGUCCGAGCUGGGAGGCGGCCCUGUUCCGGCCUCUGUCAGUGACUUCGAGGCCUCACAGCCCAGCCGCGGCGACAGGCUCCCUGAGAAGUCGCCACAGAGAAGGCUCAUCAUCUUUUCCCCUGUUCAUCACUAAGAGAUUUCUUUCGAAUUCUUCGUACUACAGUGUCACGGCAAACAGAGAACCCUGAAGCAGUGGGCUACAGGAGAGGACUGGGGUAUUCUGUGAGGGGCCAGAACCAGAAACCCUGGGGUGUGACCGACCUUCCCGAGGGCUGGCGUGCUCAGUCCCAUGAAUGACAACUCAGGUUCGUAAAGAGUGACCCUUCCUCACCUGGCUCCAACUUCUAUGUGUGGAGGCCGAGCUCCUGGGAAAACCAAAGGGAGGGCAGUGUGACCAAAAGAAGAGACUGUGUCAUCACUUGGGAAUAAAAGCAUCAAACGCAGCCACAGCUCCCAAAACAACCUGCUACUCAACCCCCAGGAAUCUGGUCUGGGCUGUUGUGUUCCGCCUCCCAAGGUUCCAGGUGUCCCAGAAACCCAGCAAACCGAUGCUUGGGACUCCCAGAGAAGAAGGCGUCUAGGAGGACUGACCUCCUGGAACUCGGCCUGAUCAGCAUCCACUCUUGCUGGUCCCCGGCCCUGUUACCCUCUUAGGAGCCCUGCUGACACCCUCCGAGAGACUCGGGGCACCGCAGCUGGGGUGUGGCAGCGAGGACUGGAGUCAGAGCCAGGAGCAUCUUCAGCGGCUGAAUCCUGUAGAGAAGGAACUUGGCAGGCUCCAGGACUAGAACCAGAGAAGGAGACUGACUCCUGACAGCGUAUAACCAUCGGCACGUCGCAAACAUCUGCACGUGUGGGAUUUAUCCUGAGUCUCUCAAUGCUCCCAGUAAACAGAAAUUACUAUUUAUCCUUUGAUGCUGCAGAGGCAAGUUCAGGGCCUUAAAGUGAUGCCCACCACCAAUAGCUGGGGACUGUACCUGGGAUCCUGAUGCUGUAGGCUACACACAGCACCAAGCUGGCUCUUCCUUUUCUGCCUGGAUGUUUACAUGCCCUGGCUCAGUCCCUCAUUUCAUUCGGUCCGCGUGGCCUGCCGUCUCCACAGAAGCCCUCCCUGAU